AUGAACGCUGGCGGCGUGCCUAAUUCAUGCAAGUCGAGCGAACGGACGAGAAGCUUGCUUCUCUGAUGUUAGCGGCGGACGGGUGAGUAACACGUGGAUAACCUACCUAUAAGACUGGGAUAACUUCGGGAAACCGGAGCUAAUACCGGAUAAUAUUUUGAACCGCAUGGUUCAAAAGUGAAAGACGGUCUUGCUGUCACUUAUAGAUGGAUCCGCGCUGCAUUAGCUAGUUGGUAAGGUAACGGCUUACCAAGGCAACGAUGCAUAGCCGACCUGAGAGGGUGAUCGGCCACACUGGAACUGAGACACGGUCCAGACUCCUACGGGAGGCAGCAGUAGGGAAUCUUCCGCAAUGGGCGAAAGCCUGACGGAGCAACGCCGCGUGAGUGAUGAAGGUCUUCGGAUCGUAAAACUCUGUUAUUAGGGAAGAACAUAUGUGUAAGUAACUGUGCACAUCUUGACGGUACCUAAUCAGAAAGCCACGGCUAACUACGUG
Molecule: ribosomal RNA, 496 nt
Filed under: uncultured bacterium
Lineage: Bacteria
Description: partial 16S ribosomal RNA
Rfam family: Bacterial small subunit ribosomal RNA
Source: RNAcentral